Molecule: ribosomal RNA, 442 nt
Filed under: Agrobacterium tumefaciens
Lineage: Bacteria; Pseudomonadati; Pseudomonadota; Alphaproteobacteria; Hyphomicrobiales; Rhizobiaceae
Description: bacterial SSU rRNA
Rfam family: Bacterial small subunit ribosomal RNA
Source: RNAcentral
ACUCAAAGGAAUUGACGGGGGCCCGCACAAGCGGUGGAGCAUCUGGUUUAAUUUGAAGCAACGCGCAGAACCUUACCAGCUCUUGACAUUCGGGGUAUGGGCAUUGGAGACGAUGUCCUUCAGUUAGGCUGGCCCCAGAACAGGUGCUGCAUGGCUGUCGUCAGCUCGUGUCGUGAGAUGUUGGGUUAAGUCCCGCAACGAGCGCAACCCUCGCCCUUAGUUGCCAGCAUUUAGUUGGGCACUCUAAGGGGACUGCCGGUGAUAAGCCGAGAGGAAGGUGGGGAUGACGUCAAGUCCUCAUGGCCCUUACGGGCUGGGCUACACACGUGCUACAAUGGUGGUGACAGUGGGCAGCGAGACAGCGAUGUCGAGCUAAUCUCCAAAAGCCAUCUCAGUUCGGAUUGCACUCUGCAACUCGAGUGCAUGAAGUUGGAAUCGCUAG